Molecule: transfer RNA, 74 nt
Filed under: Japananus hyalinus
Lineage: Eukaryota; Metazoa; Arthropoda; Insecta; Hemiptera; Cicadellidae
Description: tRNA-Asp
Source: RNAcentral
AAGAGAUUAGUUUAUUUUAAAAACAUUUGCUUGUCAAGCUUAAAUAACUUUACUAAAUUAAUAAGUAUCUCUUU